UUGAUUUUAGUUAUUUGUGAACGUGCUACAAACAAACAAAAAAAUAUUAUAGUCAAAAAAAAAUUAAAUCA
Molecule: unclassified non-coding RNA, 71 nt
Filed under: soil metagenome
Description: partial internal transcribed spacer 1
Source: RNAcentral